This 468-nucleotide ribosomal RNA is filed under the name uncultured bacterium. RNAcentral describes it as "partial 16S ribosomal RNA". It matches the Rfam family "Bacterial small subunit ribosomal RNA", at positions 28 to 507 of the family's 1533-position model. The record is from RNAcentral.
GACGAACGCUGGCGGCGUGCUUAACACAUGCAAGUCGAACGGAAAGGCCCUGCUUUUGUGGGGUGCUCGAUUGCCGAACGGGUGAGUAUCACGUGAGUAACCUGCCCUUGUCUUUGUGAUAACUUCAGGAAACUGGGGCUAAUAUCGGAUAGGAGCUCCUGCUGCGCGGUGGGGGUUGGAGAGUUUCGGCGGUUGGGGAUGGACUCGCGGCUUAUCGGCUUGUUGGUGUGGUAGUGGCUUACCAAGUCUUUGACGGGUAGCCGGCCUGAGAGGUUUACCGGCCACAUGGGUACUGAGGUACGGACCAGAAUCCUAUGGGAGGCAGCGGUGGAGAAUAUUGCACAGUGGGCGGAAGCGUGAUGCAGCAGCGCCGCGUUCGGGAAAACGGGCUUCGAGUGGUAAACCGCUGUCGCCUGAGACGAAGCGUGAGUGACGGUAAUGGGUAAAGAAGCACCGGCUAACUACGUG